CUUCCGUAGGUGAACCUGCGGAAGGAUCAUUAAUAUUGAAAUUACACCCUUUUAGGCACAAACUCUAAAUCUUAACCGUCAAUAUUUUUUAAAAAAACUUUCAACAACGGAUCUCUUGGUUCUCGCAUCGAUGAAGAACGCAGCGAAUUGCGAUACGUAAUAUGACUUGCAGACGUGAAUCAUUGAAUCUUUGAACGCACAUUGCGCCCCGGGGUAUUCCCCAGGGCAUGCGUGGGUGAGCGAUAUUUACUCUCAAACCUCCGGUUUGGUCCUGCUUCGGCCUAAUAUCAACGGCGCUAGAAUAAGUUUUAGCCCCAUUCUUUUUCCUCACCCUCGUAAGACUACCCGCUGAACUUAAGCAUAUCAAUAAGCGGAGGAAA
RNAcentral lists this ribosomal RNA (380 nucleotides) under Metschnikowia sp. 11-1120. RNAcentral's name for it is "eukaryotic LSU rRNA". The stretch from base 96 to 245 matches the Rfam family "5.8S ribosomal RNA". Lineage: Eukaryota; Fungi; Ascomycota; Pichiomycetes; Serinales; Metschnikowiaceae. The record is from RNAcentral.